RNAcentral lists this ribosomal RNA (440 nucleotides) under uncultured bacterium. Its description in RNAcentral is "partial 16S ribosomal RNA". It matches the Rfam family "Bacterial small subunit ribosomal RNA", at positions 338 to 795 of the family's 1533-position model. The record is from RNAcentral.
CCUACGGGAGGCUGCAGUGGGGGAUAUUGCACAAUGGGGGAAACCCUGAUGCAGCGACGCCGCGUGAGUGAUGAAGUAUUUCGGUAUGUAAAGCUCUAUUAGCAGGGAAGAAAAUGACAGUACCUGACCAAUAAGCACCGGCUAACUACGUGCCAGCAGCCGCGGUAAUACGUAGGGGGCAAGCGUUAUCCGGAUUUACUGGGCGUAAAGGGAGCGUAGACGGGUAAGUAAGUCCGGAGUGAAAGCCCGGGGCUCAACCACGGGACUGCUUUGGAAACUGUGUAACUGGAGUACGGGAGGGGCAGGCGGAAUUCCUGGUGUAGCGGUGAAAUGCGUAGAUAUCAGGAGGAACACCGACGGCGAAGGCGGCCUGCUGGACUGAAACUGACGUUGAGGCUCGAAAGCGUGGGGAGCAAACAGGAUUAGAUACCCUUGUAGUC